GGGGAAUUUUGGACAAUGGGCGAAAGCCUGAUCCAGCAAUGCCGCGUGCACGAUGAAGGCCUUCGGGUUGUAAACUGCUUUUGUACGGAACGAAAAGGCUCUGUCUAAUACCUGGGGCACAUGACGGUACCGGAAUAAGAAGCACCGGCUAAUUACGUGCCAGCAGCCGCGGUAAUACGUAGGGUGCGAGCGUUAAUCGGAAUUACUGGGCGUAAAGCGUGCGCAGGCGGUUUUGUAAGACAGGCGUGAAAUCCCCGGGCUCAACCUGGGAAUUGCGCUUGUGACUGCAAAACUAGAGUACGGCAGAGGGGGUUGGAAUUCCACGUGUAGCAGUGAAAUGCGUAGAGAUGUGGAGGAACACCAAUGGCGAAGUCAGCCCCCUGGGUCGAUACUGACGCUCAUGCACGAAAGCGUGGGGAGCAAACA
RNAcentral lists this ribosomal RNA (426 nucleotides) under uncultured beta proteobacterium. Its description in RNAcentral is "bacterial SSU rRNA". It matches the Rfam family "Bacterial small subunit ribosomal RNA", at positions 356 to 774 of the family's 1533-position model. Lineage: Bacteria; Pseudomonadati; Pseudomonadota; Betaproteobacteria. The record is from RNAcentral.